AGAGGGGGCUAGCGUUAUUCGGAAUUAUUGGGCGUAAAGGGCGCGUAGGCGGCCCUGCGUGUCUUCCGUGAAAUCCCUCGGCUUAACUGAGGACGUGCGGAAGAAACUGCAGGGCUCGAGUCCGGGAGAGGGGGGUGGAAUUCCCAGUGUAGCGGUGAAAUGCGUAGAUAUUGGGAGGAACACCGGUGGCGAAGGCGGCCCCCUGGACCGGUUCUGACGCUGAGGCGCGAAAGCGUGGGUAGCAAACGGGAUUAGAUACCCCGGUAGUCCACGCCGUAAACGAUGGGCACUUGGUGUCGCGGGUAUCGACCCCUGCGGUGCCGAAGCUAACGCAUUAAGUGCCCCGCCUGGGGAGUACGGUCGCAAGGCUG
Molecule: ribosomal RNA, 371 nt
Filed under: uncultured bacterium
Lineage: Bacteria
Description: bacterial SSU rRNA
Rfam family: Bacterial small subunit ribosomal RNA
Source: RNAcentral